UAAGGAAUAUUGGUCAAUGGACGCAAGUCUGAACCAGCCAUGCCGCGUGAAGGAUGAAGGUCCUCUGGAUUGUAAACUUCUUUUAUAUGGGACGAAACCCUCGGAUUCCAACGGGAUUGACGGUACCAUAAGAAUAAGCACCGGCUAACUCCGUGCCAGCAGCCGCGGUAAUACGGAGGGUGCAAGCGUUAUCCGGAUUCACUGGGUUUAAAGGGUGCGUAGGAGGGCAGGUAAGUCAGUGGUGAAAUCCCCGAGCUUAACUCGGAAACUGCCGUUGAUACUAUCUGUCUUGAAUACCGUGGAGAUGAGCGGAAUAUGUCAUGUAGCGGUGAAAUGCUUAGAUAUGACAUAGAACACCAAUUGCGAAGGCAGCUCGCUACACGAAUAUUGACUCUGAGGCACGAAAGCGUGGGGAUCAAACAGGAUUAGAUACCCGCGUAGUCC
This 444-nucleotide ribosomal RNA is filed under the name uncultured bacterium. RNAcentral describes it as "bacterial SSU rRNA". It matches the Rfam family "Bacterial small subunit ribosomal RNA", at positions 355 to 796 of the family's 1533-position model. The record is from RNAcentral.